This is a non-coding RNA of Coturnix japonica (Japanese quail), 808 nucleotides long. The record is from RefSeq and is a predicted model, not a curated record. NCBI's taxonomy places the organism in Eukaryota, Metazoa, Chordata, Aves, Galliformes, Phasianidae.
AAGAAACCACCACGCCACAUGAUGUAUUCUGAUGCAAAUUAAGGGCUGGCUCCUCAAGAUAUCCUAAGCUACUAUAAAGCCCUGCUGUCUGAAGACAUAAAACUAUCUUAAUCGACACACUCCUAUUAAAGGGGAUGUCCACAGGCCAAUGACUGUGAACCUGAACCUUGCCAAAACCCAGGUAUGUUUGAAACAUCUGAUUCACCUGUUUGAAAACCCCAUAUAACCAAGUGUGUUUAAUAAAUUUAGUGAAGUAUCUUUGCACUGAGGGAAGGCAGGAUUUAUUUUCUUCCACUAACGAUUCUGGAUGAAUACAUGCAAUUCCCAACACCAAUUUAGCUCUUUGCAGUCACAUCACUAGUCCAAAAAUUAACCUCAAAACAACAGAUUUUCCUCUCUUUCAUAAACAUGAAAAAUAAACAUUAGGAGAACAAAUGCUUUUUUUUUUUUAAUCUCAGAUAAAUUAGAUUAAGUCCAUUUCUUACUUUCAUUGCAGCACCCGAGCUGCAAAGUGGUGUAUGGACAAAGUGAUGUGGAGUACUGCCAUUUCAGUCAAUAUGCAGAAAGAGCGUGUGGCUGGUACUAGUAGCAGAUGAACCUGUUCAUUCAUGCUGAAUGUCUACAGGACAGGACUCCCAAGGCAUGUGGAUACAAGUGUUGUUAACCUCUGGAGAGCCAAAACUGAAGGAGAAUACAGUCUGCACCAGGCCUGCAAGUGAGGCCAUGGCACCACUGCCUCGGGAAUCACAGAACUGUGGGGAUAGCCUGAGUUGGAAGGGAUCAACAAAGAUCAUCAAGACCAACUCCA